GUGUCAGCAGCCGCGGUAAGACGAACCGUCCUAACGUUGUUCGGAAUCACUGGGCUUAAAGGGCGCGUAGGCGGGCCAUCAAGUCCGGGGUGAAAUACUUCGGCUUAACCGGAGAAUUGCCUUGGAUACUGGUGGUCUAGAGGGAGGUAGGGGUCUGUGGAACUUCCGGUGGAGCGGUGAAAUGCGUUGAUAUCGGAAGGAACGCCGGUGGCGAAAGCGACGGACUGGACCUCUUCUGACGCUGAGGCGCGAAAGCCAGGGGAGCAAACGGGAUUAGAUACCCCGGUAGUCC
This 292-nucleotide ribosomal RNA is filed under the name uncultured bacterium. RNAcentral's name for it is "partial 16S ribosomal RNA". It matches the Rfam family "Bacterial small subunit ribosomal RNA", at positions 505 to 796 of the family's 1533-position model. The record is from RNAcentral.